UAAAUAAAGGUGUUCUCAACUAGCCUACCUGGUUAAAUAAAGGUGUUCUCAACUAGCCUACCUGGUUAAAUAAAGGUGUUCUCAACUAGCCUACCUGGUCAAAUAAAGGUGUUCUCAACUAGCCUACCUGGUCAAAUAAAGGUGUUCUCAACUAGCCUACCUGGUUAAAUAAAGGUGUUCUCAACUGGCCUACCUGGUUAAAUAAAGGUGUUCUCAACUAGCCUACCUGGUUAAAUAAAGGUGUUCUCAACUAGCCUACCUGGUUAAAUAAAGGUGUUCUCAACUAGCCUACCUGGUCAAAUAAAGGUGUUCUCAACUAGCCUACCUGGUCAAAUAAAGGUGUUCUCAACUAGCCUACCUGGUUAAAUAAAGGUGUU
Oncorhynchus keta (chum salmon) is the source of this 377-nucleotide long non-coding RNA. RefSeq lists it as uncharacterized. The record is from RefSeq and is a predicted model, not a curated record. Lineage: Eukaryota; Metazoa; Chordata; Actinopteri; Salmoniformes; Salmonidae. The transcript has 3 exons.